Molecule: ribosomal RNA, 510 nt
Filed under: uncultured bacterium
Lineage: Bacteria
Description: partial 16S ribosomal RNA
Rfam family: Bacterial small subunit ribosomal RNA
Source: RNAcentral
GACGAACGCUGGCGGCGUGCUUAACACAUGCAAGUCGAACGAAGAGCGAUGGAAGCUUGCUUCUAUCAAUCUUAGUGGCGAACGGGUGAGUAACGCGUAAUCAACCUGCCCUUCAGAGGGGGACAACAGUUGGAAACGACUGCUAAUACCGCAUACGAUCUAACCUCGGCAUCGAGGAUAGAUGAAAGGUGGCCUCUACAUGUAAGCUAUCACUGAAGGAGGGGAUUGCGUCUGAUUAGCUAGUUGGAGGGGUAACGGCCCACCAAGGCGAUGAUCAGUAGCCGGUCUGAGAGGAUGAACGGCCACAUUGGGACUGAGGCACGGCCCAGACUCCUACGGGAGGCAGCAGUGGGGAAUCUUCCGCAAUGGACGAAAGUCUGACGGAGCAACGCCGCGUGAGGGAUGACGGCCUUCGGGUUGUAAAGCUCUGUUAAUCGGGACGAAAGGCCUUCUUGCGAAUAGUUAGAAGGAUUGACGGUACCGGAAUAGAAAGCCACGGCUAACUACGUG